AACUUUUAGCAACGGAUCACUUGGCUCCGGCAUCGAUGAAGAACGCAGCGAACCGCGAUAGGUAGUGUGAAUUGCAGAAUUUAGUGAAUCAUCGAAUCUUUGAACGCACAUUGCGCCCGGCGGUAAUCCGCCGGGCACGCCCGUCCGAGCGUCGCUCCAGCACCCCUCGGGCACCAGUUGCCCGGUGUUGGGGGCCCGCGCCCAGCCGCGGCCCCCGGAAACCAGAGGCGGCAGCGCCGAGGCGUCCCCUGCGUAGUACAUGCUAGCAGAGGGUCCCCGGCGACGCCAGCCGCGCCGCGGCGCGCUAUACUAAGAAGACCUCGGAUCGGGUGGGGAUACCCGCUGAACUUAAGCAUAUCAAUAGCGGAGGCU
This 372-nucleotide unclassified non-coding RNA is filed under the name uncultured Sordariomycetes. Its description in RNAcentral is "sequence contains ITS2". The stretch from base 1 to 154 matches the Rfam family "5.8S ribosomal RNA". The record is from RNAcentral. Lineage: Eukaryota; Fungi; Ascomycota; Sordariomycetes.